CCAGACUCCUACGGGAGGCAGCAGUGGGGAAUAUUGGGCAAUGGGCGCAAGCCUGACCCAGCAACGCCGCGUGAAGGAAGAAGGCUUUCGGGUUGUAAACUUCUUUUCUCAGGGACGAAGCAAGUGACGGUACCUGACGAAUAAGCCACGGCUAACUACGUGCCAGCAGCCGCGGUAAUACGUAGGUGGCAAGCGUUAUCCGGAUUUACUGGGUGUAAAGGGCGUGUAGGCGGGACUGCAAGUCAGAUGUGAAAACCACGGGCGCGACCUGUGGCCUGCAUUUGAAACUGUAGUUCUUGAGUACUGGAGAGGCAGACGGAAUUCCUAGUGUAGCGGUGAAAUGCGUAGAUAUUAGGAGGAACACCAGUGGCGAAGGCGGUCUGCUGGGCAGCAACUGACGCUGAGGCGCGAAAGCGUGGGGAGCAAACAGGAUUAGAUACCCCGGUAACA
This 450-nucleotide ribosomal RNA is filed under the name uncultured bacterium. Its description in RNAcentral is "bacterial SSU rRNA". It matches the Rfam family "Bacterial small subunit ribosomal RNA", at positions 331 to 795 of the family's 1533-position model. The record is from RNAcentral.